AGAGUUUGAUCCUGGCUUAGGAUGAACGCUAGCGGCAGGCUUAACACAUGCAAGUCGAGGGGCAUCGGGAGUAGCAAUACUUGCCGGCGACCGGCGCAAGGGUGCGUAACGCGUGAGCAACAUGCCCGUAUCAGGGGGAUAAUCCAUGGAAACGUGGUCUAAUACCCCAUAGUAAUUAUGUAAGGCAUCUUAUAUAAUUUAAAGCUUUGGUGGAUACGGAUUGGCUCGCGUGACAUUAGCUGGAUGGUAAGGUAACGGCUUACCAUGGCUACGAUGUCUAGGGGUUCUGAGAGGAAGGCCCCCACACUGGAACUGAGACACGGUCCAGACUCCUACGGGAGGCAGCAGUGAGGAAUAUUGGACAAUGGAUGGAAAUCUGAUCCAGCCAUGCCGCGUGCAGGAAGACGGCCCUAUGGGUUGUAAACUGCUUUUGUAUGGGAGCAAUAAGGGCUACGUGUAGUCCGAUGAGAGUACCAUACGAAUAAGCACCGGCUAACUCCGUGCCAGCCGCCGC
Molecule: ribosomal RNA, 514 nt
Filed under: uncultured bacterium
Lineage: Bacteria
Description: bacterial SSU rRNA
Rfam family: Bacterial small subunit ribosomal RNA
Source: RNAcentral